RNAcentral lists this ribosomal RNA (363 nucleotides) under uncultured soil bacterium. RNAcentral describes it as "bacterial SSU rRNA". It matches the Rfam family "Bacterial small subunit ribosomal RNA", at positions 26 to 385 of the family's 1533-position model. The record is from RNAcentral.
AGAGUGAACGCUGGCGGCAGGCCUAACACAUGCAAGUCGAACGGCAGCACAGCAGAGCUUGCUCUGUGGGUGGCGAGUGGCGGACGGGUGAGGAUAACGUCGGAAUCUGCCUAUUUGUGGGGGAUAACGUAGGGAAACUUACGCUAAUACCGCAUACGACCUACGGGUGAAAGCGGAGGACCUUCGGGCUUCGCGCAGAUAGAUGAGCCGACGUCGGAUUAGCUAGUUGGCGGGGUAAAGGCCCACCAAGGCGACGAUCCGUAGCUGGUCUGAGAGGAUGAUCAGCCACACUGGAACUGAGACACGGUCCAGACUCCUACGGGAGGCAGCAGUGGGGAAUAUUGGACAAUGGGCGCAAGCCUG